CCUACGGGUGGCUGCAGUGAGGAAUAUUGGUCAAUGGACGCAAGUCUGAACCAGCCAUGCCGCGUGCAGGAAGAAGGCUCUAUGAGUUGUAAACUGCUUUUGUACGAGGGCAAACUCAGAUACGCGUACCUGUCUGAAAGUACCUUACGAAUAAGGAUCGGCUAACUCCGUGCCAGCAGCCGCGGUAAUACGGAGGAUUCAAGCGUUAUCCGGAUUUAUUGGGUUUAAAGGGUGCGUAGGCGGGCGGUUAAGUUAGCGGUGAAAUCCCGGGGCUCAACCUCGGCAUUGCCUCUGAUACUGGUUGGCUAGAGAGUAGUAGAGGUAGGCGGAAUGUAUGGUGUAGCGGUGAAAUGCUUAGAGAUCGUGCAGAACACCGAUUGCGAAGGCAGCUUACCGAGCUACAUCUGACGUUGAGGCACGAAAGCGUGGGGAGCAAACAGGAUUAGAUACCCCAGUAGUC
Molecule: ribosomal RNA, 460 nt
Filed under: uncultured bacterium
Lineage: Bacteria
Description: partial 16S ribosomal RNA
Rfam family: Bacterial small subunit ribosomal RNA
Source: RNAcentral